This 1266-nucleotide long non-coding RNA is filed under the name Anas platyrhynchos platyrhynchos (common mallard). RNAcentral's name for it is "lncRNA (ENSAPLG00000027617.1)". The record is from RNAcentral. Lineage: Eukaryota; Metazoa; Chordata; Aves; Anseriformes; Anatidae.
AUGGAGCGAGCCCCCCUCCCGUACCUGCCCUCCUCCAGGGCACAGACACGCUCCCGCAGCCCCACCGCCCAUGUAAGCCCGGCGGGGGGGCUGCUUGGACCGUGCUUGGUGGGUUGGCGGCCACCCCUCGGGCACUGUGUAGCCAGGGCUGUGCCGUGCGUGGGCUGGAUGCGGCCGUGGGCACGCUGCGCUCCCCUGGGUGCAGCCGGGAGGCGAGGGGGGAGCUCCUGCCCUGCCCGGGGGUCUCAGGCUGCCGCUGCCGUGCUUCUUGCCAAAGCCAGCCUGGGCAGUGGGGUGCACCGUGCUCCUGCACCGCAGGCUGGAGAGGGGCAUUCACCUUGGCUGAGCACACAGGUGAGCAGGGUGCCUGCCUGUGGCUCUCACAGCGGUCCUCCAGCCUUGCCAGCGCUGCUGAGUGUCGUAUCAUGCCUCUGUCAAGCAGGUGUUGUUUUCAGUUUGAGACAUGAUAGGUCUUUGUGGAUUGGCCGUGGGAUUUGUGGAGAUACCUUGGGGACCAAGCGGCCGGUUCGCAUCAGUCGGCCUUGCUGCUCCCAAGACUGUGUCCCGGGCCUGCCCGGUGCUGGCACCUCGAGCUGGGUGCUCAGCAGGCUGCUGCGAGCUCCUCUCCAGAGCAGCUCGUGCUGGGGGAACUCAUCCAGGAGAUAUUUUUGGUGCGGCAGCAUGGCCUGUGCUCAGCUACAGCAAAGAGGAGAGAUCCCUGCCAGUCGCAGCACAGCAGGGUUCUUCUGGAGAGGACCCCACAGGGAAAGCAAAAGUGCACAGAAGCGUGAGCACCUGGGGCUUGGCACUUCUUGCCCUGCAGCUGGCAAGUGUGCAUGGCUUGUGCUGCCGCCUGCCCUCCUGCUCAGUGCACUCCUUGGCUCUGCUGGGGCUGGGGGUGCUCUGCCACACACAUCCCUUCUGCGGGGAGCAGCGCGCUGCUGGCCCCUCUGCCACCACGCACAGUGUCCCCAAAACAUGCAGUGUGCUUCCCGCUGCACAUUGCGUGUGCACAGCUCGCCCCCAAGGUGUGUGCCCCCCCCUCCCAUUUUUCCUGCACGUGUAUUAAUCUGUGAGAUUAGUACAUUAAUUCUGCCAAGGAAUGAACAUCACCUGCUGCUGAGUUUGAUAAAUUCACUGAACCUCGGUGUUGCAGAGGAAAGGCUUAAUGUCCUCCUAGAAAGGCUGAGAGUUAGUCCGUGGUACUAUGAGCCCGCGGUGCCUUGCCAAGCAAAACACUCAGGAUGCUUCCUAGGGGAUUUUUAA